AGAGUAAAAUAGUACGUGAAAUUGUUGAAAGGGAAACGAUUGAAGUCAGUCGUACCGACGGAAAAUCAGCUCUUCGGGUGCGGACUUGUGGGCGUGCGUGAGCUUUACGGUCUCGCUGUUUGCAAUGUACGUGCUUUUUGGGUGUACUUUUUCGUAUGGUAGGCCAACGUCAGUUUCGAUCGCUAUAAAAUGACCGGCGGAAUGUAGCUUCGAUCUCGUAUUGAAGUGUUAUAGACUCUGGUAGAUGUGACGUCUGGGAUUGAGGAUUGCAACGGAUACCUCUCGGGGCUACCUGCCUGGCCUCUGAUGAUUGCUUUGGUGCCGAAAGCUUGCUUACGGUUAUUUAAGUUUGACGGUCAAAAGGUUAGAACGUGAUUACAUUCGUUAAGGAUGUUGGCGUAAUGACUUUAAACGACC
RNAcentral lists this ribosomal RNA (417 nucleotides) under Dominikia iranica. RNAcentral describes it as "partial large subunit ribosomal RNA". The record is from RNAcentral. Lineage: Eukaryota; Fungi; Glomeromycota; Glomeromycetes; Glomerales; Glomeraceae.